CGGUGGGGGAUGACGCUUUUCGGAGUGUAAACCCCUUUCGAUCGGGGACGAAUGCCUCGCAAGGAGGAGUGACGGUACCGGUAGAAGAAGCCCCGGCUAACUACGUGC
This 108-nucleotide ribosomal RNA is filed under the name uncultured bacterium. RNAcentral's name for it is "partial 16S ribosomal RNA". It matches the Rfam family "Bacterial small subunit ribosomal RNA", at positions 401 to 508 of the family's 1533-position model. The record is from RNAcentral.